This 255-nucleotide ribosomal RNA is filed under the name Listeria monocytogenes. RNAcentral describes it as "partial 23S ribosomal RNA". It matches the Rfam family "Bacterial large subunit ribosomal RNA", at positions 2495 to 2749 of the family's 2925-position model. The record is from RNAcentral. Lineage: Bacteria; Bacillati; Bacillota; Bacilli; Caryophanales; Listeriaceae.
AGAGUCCACAUCGACGGGGAGGUUUGGCACCUCGAUGUCGGCUCGUCGCAUCCUGGGGCGGUAGUCGGUCCCAAGGGUUGGGCUGUUCGCCCAUUAAAGCGGCACGCGAGCUGGGUUCAGAACGUCGGGGGACAGUUCGGUCCCUAUCCGUCGCGGGCGCAGGAAAUUUGAGAGGAGCUGUCCUUAGUACGAGAGGACCGGGAUGGACACACCGCUGGUGUACCAGUUGUUCCGCCAGGAGCAUCGCUGGGUAGC